Molecule: Y RNA, 111 nt
Filed under: Microcebus murinus (gray mouse lemur)
Lineage: Eukaryota; Metazoa; Chordata; Mammalia; Primates; Cheirogaleidae
Description: Y RNA (ENSMICG00000042566.1)
Rfam family: Y RNA
About the family: Y RNAs are components of the Ro ribonucleoprotein particle (Ro RNP), in association with Ro60 and La proteins. The Y RNAs and Ro60 and La proteins are well conserved, but the function of the Ro RNP is not known.
Source: Rfam by way of RNAcentral
CGCUGGUCCAAAGGUAGUGAAUUAUCUAUUGAUUGUUCACAGGUAGUUACAGAUGAAACUCCUUGUUCUACUCUUUCCCCCCUUCUCAUUACUGCACUUGAAUAAUCUAAA